This 211-nucleotide ribosomal RNA is filed under the name uncultured bacterium. Its description in RNAcentral is "partial 16S ribosomal RNA". It matches the Rfam family "Bacterial small subunit ribosomal RNA", at positions 524 to 734 of the family's 1533-position model. The record is from RNAcentral.
UACGAAGGGGGCUAGCGUUGCUCGGAAUUACUGGGCGUAAAGCGCACGUAGGCGGCUCUUUAAGUCGGGGGUGAAAUCCUGGAGCUCAACUCCAGAACUGCCUUCGAUACUGAAGAGCUCGAGUCCGGGAGAGGUGAGUGGAACUGCGAGUGUAGAGGUGAAAUUCGUAGAUAUUCGCAAGAACACCAGUGGCGAAGGCGGCUCACUGGCC